This 588-nucleotide ribosomal RNA is filed under the name Vibrio sp. RNAcentral describes it as "bacterial SSU rRNA". It matches the Rfam family "Bacterial small subunit ribosomal RNA", at positions 337 to 917 of the family's 1533-position model. Lineage: Bacteria; Pseudomonadati; Pseudomonadota; Gammaproteobacteria; Vibrionales; Vibrionaceae. The record is from RNAcentral. RNAcentral also lists the same sequence under 1 other name.
UCCUACGGGAGGCAGCAGUGGGGAAUAUUGCACAAUGGGCGCAAGCCUGAUGCAGCCAUGCCGCGUGUGUGAAGAAGGCCUUCGGGUUGUAAAGCACUUUCAGUCGUGAGGAAGGUGGUGUAGUUAAUAGCUGCAUUAUUUGACGUUAGCGACAGAAGAAGCACCGGCUAACUCCGUGCCAGCAGCCGCGGUAAUACGGAGGGUGCGAGCGUUAAUCGGAAUUACUGGGCGUAAAGCGCAUGCAGGUGGUUUGUUAAGUCAGAUGUGAAAGCCCGGGGCUCAACCUCGGAAUAGCAUUUGAAACUGGCAGACUAGAGUACUGUAGAGGGGGGUAGAAUUUCAGGUGUAGCGGUGAAAUGCGUAGAGAUCUGAAGGAAUACCGGUGGCGAAGGCGGCCCCCUGGACAGAUACUGACACUCAGAUGCGAAAGCGUGGGGAGCAAACAGGAUUAGAUACCCUGGUAGUCCACGCCGUAAACGAUGUCUACUUGGAGGUUGUGGCCUUGAGCCGUGGCUUUCGGAGCUAACGCGUUAAGUAGACCGCCUGGGGAGUACGGUCGCAAGAUUAAAACUCAAAUGAAUUGACGGA